RNAcentral lists this ribosomal RNA (352 nucleotides) under uncultured bacterium. RNAcentral describes it as "bacterial SSU rRNA". It matches the Rfam family "Bacterial small subunit ribosomal RNA", at positions 29 to 372 of the family's 1533-position model. The record is from RNAcentral.
AACGAGCGCUGGCGGCGCGCCUAAUACAUGCAAGUCGAGCGAGAAGACGUAGCAAUACGUUUGUAAAGCGGCGAACGGGUGAGGAAUACAUGGGUAACCUACCCUCGAGUGGGGAAUAACUAGCCGAAAGGUUAGCUAAUACCGCGUACGCUCCUUGGACUUCGGUUCAGGGAGGAAAGCGAUACCGUGGGUAUCGCGCUCUUGGAUGGGCUCAUGUCCUAUCAGCUUGUUGGGAGGUAACGGCUCACCAAGGCUUCGACGGGUAGCUGGUCUGAGAGGACGAUCAGCCACACUGGCACUGCGACACGGGCCAGACUCCUACGGGAGGCAGCAGUAAGGAAUAUUGCGCAAU